Molecule: long non-coding RNA, 603 nt
Filed under: Vigna radiata
Lineage: Eukaryota; Viridiplantae; Streptophyta; Magnoliopsida; Fabales; Fabaceae
Description: long non-coding RNA (VRAD_LNC003014)
Source: RNAcentral
GUUCCAUUUUGGGUCGGAAGAACUAGAAAACUCAAAAGAUCGCCACUCUUCUUGUGAGGAAACCAGCAAAGGGAGAAUGUUGCACUAUGUUACCCAAAGAGAGGAUCAAAAAAUCACUAAAACACAACACAAAGAAAGCAAAUUUUAAUCAGUUGAACGACAAGAUAAUCGAUAAAAAAACUAAAGAAAGUUUAAACGAUAAGCAUAAAAAAAACCACGCACCUGGGAUGCAAGAGAGAAAAAGGAGAGGACGAAGACAAUGACGUUAUGAGAAACGACAAUGCAAUGCCGCAAGAGAUAAAAAGUAGAGGUGCGCAAGCGAGUAAAAGAAGAGGAGAAGCAGAGAAAAAGGAGAAGAGAUGAAGACNCGAUCAGAAACUGAAUGGCGAGAAGAGUCCGUGGUCUAUUUAAAAUGAAAUGGGGCGUCGGUGUUUCAGGGGAUCCGACGUCUAUGAAGCUGAAAAGAUUGACGUUUUGGUUUCCUUUCAGGGUAGUUCACGCGGUGUCCCUCACAGCCGACGUCUAAAACCCUCGAAUUUGGUGAAAAUACAGAAACGUAGACGUCGGUGCCCCUCAGAACUGACGUCUACAUUGAAGAAUUUU